Molecule: long non-coding RNA, 1432 nt
Organism: Oreochromis aureus
Lineage: Eukaryota; Metazoa; Chordata; Actinopteri; Cichliformes; Cichlidae
Source: Ensembl
GUAACAAGCUGGUGAUGAGUUGAUGAAGAGCUGGGUCUUUACACACAGGUAACUCCUGAUUGAAAGCAGGUGUGCCAGCCAAGCUCAACGGGAAAAGUGAAUCGACACACUCAGACAGUAAAAAGGGAGCGGGUGAGAGAGGGAGCUUGAAAAAAUGCACUGCAAAGAAUACAGAAAUGCACAAAGAGAAGGAACAACAGGAGGAAAUACACCGAGUACCGCAGUGUAAGCUCCAAGACAUGGGGAAAAAAAGAAGAAGGGUUGCAAGUAAUGUUUGAUGAAGCACUACAAAGUAACACUGAAGCAGAAAAAAGAAAGAGAGGGAACAACAGGAAGAAACACAGAGAGAAAUGCAGAGUAUUCUCCAAGACUCUGAGAGGAAAAAUACAGAACCGUUCAUUUGCUCAACUAAAUGUUAACCCGCAUAUUUAACCAGCCAGGCAUGUCACCAUGGCCAAGACGACCUGCUGAAGUUCCAGCUGACCAUCACAAUGAGGGGAAAAAGGGUUUACAGAGAAUCAUCUGAAAAAGAGAAAACAUCCAGUGAGCCUCAGUUCUCUGGGUAAAACUGGCUUGUUGAAGCAAGAAGGCAGAGGAGCAUAAUCUGACUGCUUCGUGCUAUUAGAAAGACAAGAGUAACUCAAAUAACCACUUGUUACAACUGAGAUAUGCAGAAGAAUAUCUCUGAAUGAACAUGCCAAACCUUGAAGCAAAGGGGCUACAGCAGCAGAAGACCGCACCAGGUGUCAGUCAGAAAACUGAAGCUACAAUUUGCACUGGUUUGACAAAAUCAGACAACAGCAGAUUGGAAAUGUGUUGCCUGAUCUGAGGAGUCGUAAUUUCUGCUGCCACAUUUAGAGGGUAGGGUCAUAAUUUGGUGUAAACAGUGUGAUAGCAUGGAGCCAUUAUGUCCUGUUUCAACAGUUUAGGCUGCCUCUAGUGGUGUAAUGAGGUAAACGCUUUCUUGGCACACUUUGGACAACUUAGUACCAAGUAAGCAUGAUUUAAACUUGACAGCUUACUAGCGUAUUGCUGCUGACCAUGGCCAUCCUUUUGGGACCACAGCAUACCCAUCUUCUGAUGGAUGCUUCGAAUGGGAAAACACACCAUGAAAAAUCUCAAACUGGUUUCUUGGACAUGAAAAUUAGUUCACUGUAUGCAAAUGGCCUUCACAGCCACCAGAUCUCAGUUCAGUAGAUUGCCUUUGGGCAUGGUUGUGCAGCCUUAAAACUGCUAAACUGUGUGAUGCUUUCAUGUCAAUAUGUUUGCAGCACCUUGUUGAAUCUAUGCCACAAAGAAUUUUAAAAAAAUGGGGGUUCCAACCCAGGACUAGCAAAGUGCAUCUAAUAAAGUGGUCAGUGAGUGUAUGCAUUUCUUUUGUCUUUAUGUUGCUCUAACUUAACACUUUGUCUUAUGGUCCACAUCACAGUAA